Long non-coding RNA from Falco peregrinus (peregrine falcon), 1550 nucleotides. RefSeq lists it as uncharacterized. The transcript is spliced from 5 exons. The record is from RefSeq and is a predicted model, not a curated record. NCBI's taxonomy places the organism in Eukaryota, Metazoa, Chordata, Aves, Falconiformes, Falconidae.
UGUAUUUUCUGCUUCUAGCUGAAAAGCUAUCUUAACUUCAAGCUGUAAGUGGGUGAAACCAAGAAUCAUGGGAAGUCUCACCAAAAUUAAGUUGUUUGGGUACGGGAGGGAGGAGUGUUAAAACCUCGGGGCACGAGUUGAUGCAGGAAGCUGCCAACAGGUCUUCCUGCAAACAGGCUGAUGGCACCCUGCAGGGGUGAAAAAGAUCUCAGUCCCCCAUGCUGGAGUUUUCCCCCUCCAGCCAGAUUUGCUUCACUACAAAAAUGAAAGGACAGAAAUAAGGAAGAAAAACAUUCUUUGAGUCUUUAACUGCAUUGUUUGGUACCAGCAGCUGGAGCUAAGUGUCACUGAACCUGGUCCACUAUGUCCCUGUAAAAAUCUUCACUAUCAGCCCAUUGUGGUAACACUGGAAGGCAUGACAGCUCAGCACACAGAAGGCAGAUGGAUUAAUUUUCAUAAUUAAUGAUAUACAUUCUCAUACUAAUGGUUGUUGGAUCCACCCCAGCGCAGGACAUUUGGUUGCUGGCUGUCACCCCACAUCCUAUGGUCAGCUCUGUGCGUUCGCUCCAACGGCACAGCAACGCUGAAGCAAUAUAGGUGUUGAGCGCUGACUUCAGAGGAGAGGAGCAGGAGCCCUCCUGGUGCUGCCGGUACUCCCUGGGCAGGUGAAGCUGUGGGACCUACUGAAGAACAUGGAGAACCUGCAGGACUGCUUUCUCCUAGUACCUCUAUCUGCAAGAGUCAUUUUCCUUACCUGGAAUCUGCAGAAGUUAAUAAUCUUGCUGGAUUUAGUAGCUUUUAAAUCAAGCCCCCAUCCUAUUCUCUCUGUGAGGAAAUCUAAAUCUUCCCCAUAAAACCAGGACAAUGCUAGUGUAAGGGAUGGUGGAUGAAAGAUUUCUGUAAUGUGAACACAUUAUUUAUGAAAGUGUCAUGAAAAAAAAAUACCCACCCUAGUAAAAAAUGAAUUCACAAAACAAUUUGCAGUGCAAAUCUCACUUCUACAGUGUGCCUGCUGAAUUAUCUAUUAUAAAUUAGCUCAUUUUGAAAUUGGUGAAGCCUGCAGAAUGCUGCAUUCCCUCUGGACCGGGAGCUCUACACAUACUGUCUCGUAGGGGAUAAAAAAGUAAUUACUGAAGAUCACCCUUUCCCAGACAAGUGCUGUGGACUGUUCAACCACUCAUUUACAAUUUAAUCCCAGGGUCCUCACUGAAAUAGGUUUUUAGGUGCUAACUGGAGGCUAACAAAAUGGUUAUUUGAAUUCAUUACAUUUGAUAAAACAGAAAACUUACUUUCAGUUGUGUGGAAGAAUUGAAGCUGCUUUUUGUGGGGAAAAGGGGAAACAAUGAAAUAGGAUUAUUUGAUGGUUCAUUUUUAAUUAUUUUUUUCCUUUAUCUCUCAUGCUGACUGCUUCCUAUUUCAAUUUAAUUUCUACUUUUUUCUUAACAUUUAGUUUGAGUGAUAAAUAAUAGUUUACUAUUUCACCAGCUAUAAUAUUUGAAACUUUCUAUAGAUAAAAAUACAUAUUUAAAAAUGUUAAUUUGAGAAGUAUU